UCCUCCCUCUUUCUUCGUGCUUAACACAUGCAAGUCGAACGGUGAUGCUCCAGCUUGCUGGAGUGGAUCAGUGGCGAACGGGUGAGUAACACGUGAGCAACCUGCCCCAGACUCUGGAAUAAGCGCUGGAAACGGCGUCUAAUACUGGAUACGAAACUGGCCCGCAUGGGCAUGGUUUGGUAAGUUUUUCGGUUUGGGAUGGUCUCGCGGCCUAUCAGCUUGUUGGUGAGGUAAUGGCUCACCAAGGAGACGACGGGUAGCCGGCAUGAGAAGGAGACCGGCCACAAUGGGACUGAGACACGGCCCAGACUCCUACGGGAGGCAGCAGUGGGGAAUAUUGCACAAUGGGCGCAAGCCUGAUGCAGCGACGCCGCGUGAGGGAUGACGGCCUUCGGGUUGUAAAACUCUUUCAGCAGGGAAGAAGCGAAAGUGACGGUACCUGCAGAAGAAGCACCGGCUAACUACGUG
RNAcentral lists this ribosomal RNA (468 nucleotides) under uncultured bacterium. Its description in RNAcentral is "partial 16S ribosomal RNA". It matches the Rfam family "Bacterial small subunit ribosomal RNA", at positions 36 to 507 of the family's 1533-position model. The record is from RNAcentral.